GUCGUACUUGCAGGAAAGGUGGUGGAGUUGCUGCCAUUUUUAAAUCAAUAUUUCAGUGCAAAGAAAUAACAUUUGGUGAUUUUAUCUCCUUUGAAUAUAUGUCAUUCUUACUGAAGGGUGAUUCAAGAGUUCUGUUUUUAGUCGUUUAUAGACCCCCAAAAUAUUCUGGAGAAUUCAUGGAUGAGUUCGCUGAACUGCUGUCAGUUGUAUGCACUGAAUACAACUUUUUAAUAAUAACAGGUGACUUAAAUAUUCAUGUAGACAAUAACAUGGACAAUACUUCCAAAGAACUGUAUGCUUUAAUGGAUACUUUUGGUCUUACACAACAUGUGACUGGUCCGACACACACUCAAGGUCACACUUUGGAUCUGGUUAUCUCUAAAGGUGUUGAUAUCUCUGCUGUUGAUGUAAGAGACUUAGCUCUAUCUGAUCAUUUCUGUGUCUUUUUUGACCUAGAGACUGUAACAUCUGUUCCCCCUAGUUAUGUGUGUUUAAAGAAAAGGUACAUAAAUGAGAACACAAGUGCACAGUUUAUGGAAGCCAUAGCAAUGACACCAACAUUGAGUGCUGAGACAGUUGAUGAUCUUCUGGAUGAGUAUAAUAGAAACGUCUGUAAUGUCAUAGAUGUGGUGGCUCCAAUCAAAACUAAGAGAAAACCAAACACACAGAAAACACCUUGGAGGAGGACUGAGAUAAUGCAGAAUUUGAAAUCUGACUGUAGAAGAGCUGAGCGUAAAUGGAGAUCAACAAAACUCCAAAUUCAUCUAGAACUAUACAAAAUAAGUCUGCGAAAAUUCAAUGAUGGCUUGUUCAAAGCAAGGCAGCAAUACUUUUCUGAAAUUAUUGCCAAAAAUGUCAACAACUCUCGCACGUUGUUUUCUGUAAUUGAAAAGCUCACAACCCCCCCAGAUCAGAUAGCCCCUGAAUUACUGUCAGCUGGAAAAUGCAAUGAAUUUGCUGUAUAUUUCAAUGAAAAAAUACAAUCAAUAAGGUCAAACAUCAGAACAAACCAGCAAAAUCACAAAAAGCUUGAACAGCUUCAACCACUGAGGGAUGAGUCAAUUACAAUGUUAGAGUUUAUUACAGUGAACCCAAAAACAAUAGAGGAAACUGUUCAGCAGCUGAAUCCAUCAACGUGUUGCCUUGACACAAUACCCUCAAACUUCUUUAAAACUGUUGUAAAGUCAAUUGUCACUGAUCUGUGUCAGAUAAUUAACUGCUCAUUCCAAUCAGGCACCGUACCAAAAUCCCUGAAAGUAGCUGCUGUGAAACCGCUGUUAAAAAAGAGAACACUGGAUGCCU
Long non-coding RNA from Gouania willdenowi (blunt-snouted clingfish), 1302 nucleotides. Lineage: Eukaryota; Metazoa; Chordata; Actinopteri; Blenniiformes; Gobiesocidae. The record is from Ensembl.